UCUUGUAUGUACUUUACGAAUAAGGAUCGGCUAACUCCGUGCCAGCAGCCGCGGUAAUACGGAGGAUCCAAGCGUUAUCCGGAUUUAUUGGGUUUAAAGGGUGCGUAGGCGGACCUGUAAGUCAGUGGUGAAAGUUUGCAGCUCAACUGUAAAAUUGCCAUUGAAACUGUAGGUCUUGAGUGUAAAUGAGGUAGGCGGAAUGUGUUGUGUAGCGGUGAAAUGCUUAGAUAUAACACAGAACACCAAUUGCGAAGGCAGCUUACUAGGAUACAACUGACGCUGAGGCACGAAAGCGUGGGGAUCAAACAGGAUUAGAUACCCUGGUAGUCCACGCAGUAAACGAUGAAUACUAGCUGUAUGCGAUAUACUGUAUGUGGCAAAGCGAAAGCGUUAAGUAUUCCACCUGGGGAGUACGUUCGCAAGAAUG
This 427-nucleotide ribosomal RNA is filed under the name uncultured bacterium. RNAcentral describes it as "bacterial SSU rRNA". It matches the Rfam family "Bacterial small subunit ribosomal RNA", at positions 467 to 896 of the family's 1533-position model. The record is from RNAcentral.